Molecule: ribosomal RNA, 301 nt
Filed under: uncultured bacterium
Lineage: Bacteria
Description: partial 16S ribosomal RNA
Rfam family: Bacterial small subunit ribosomal RNA
Source: RNAcentral
CAGCAGCCGCGGGAACACGUAGGUGGCGAGCGUUGUCCGGAAUCAUUGGGCGUAAAGGGAGCGCAGGCGGGCAUGUAAGUCUUUCUUAAAAGUUCGGGGCUCAACCCCGUGAUGGGAAAGAAACUACAUGUCUUGAGUACAGGAGAGGAAAGCGGAAUUCCCAGUGUAGCGGUGAAAUGCGUAGAUAUUGGGAGGAACACCAGUGGCGAAGGCGGCUUUCUGGACUGCAACUGACGCUGAGGCUCGAAAGCCAGGGGAGCGAACGGGAUUAGAUACCCGAGUAGUCCCUGUCUCUUAUACA